UACGUAGGGUGCGAGCGUUGUCCGGAAUUAUUAGGCGUAAAGGGCUCGUAGGCGGUUUGUCGCGUCGGGAGUGAAAACCUUGGGCUUAACUCAGGGCUUGCUUUCGAUACGGGCAGACUAGAGGUAUGCAGGGGAGAACGGAAUUCCUGGUGUAGCGGUGAAAUGCGCAGAUAUCAGGAGGAACACCGGUGGCGAAGGCGGUUCUCUGGGCAUGAUCUGACGCUGAGGAGCGAAAGUGUGGGGAGCGAACAGG
Molecule: ribosomal RNA, 253 nt
Filed under: uncultured bacterium
Lineage: Bacteria
Description: partial 16S ribosomal RNA
Rfam family: Bacterial small subunit ribosomal RNA
Source: RNAcentral